CCUACGGGCGGCAGCAGUGGGGAAUAUUGGGCAAUGGGCGCAAGCCUGACCCAGCAACGCCGCGUGAAGGAAGAAGGCUUUCGGGUUGUAAACUUCUUUUGUCAGGGAAGAGUAGAAGACGGUACCUGACGAAUAAGCCACGGCUAACUACGUGCCAGCAGCCGCGGGAAUACGUAGGUGGCAAGCGUUGUCCGGAUUUACUGGGUGUAAAGGGCGUGUAGCCGGGUUGACAAGUCAGAUGUGAAAUCCUGCGGCUUAACCGCAGAACUGCAUUUGAAACUGUUGAUUUUGAGGACGGGAGAGGCAGACGGAAUUCCGAGGGUAGCGGUGAAAGGCGGAGAAAUUAGGAGGAACACCAGUGGCGAAGGGGGUCUGGUGGACAGCAACUGACGGUGAGGCGCGAAAGCGUGGGGAGCAAACAGGAAUAGAUACCCUAGUAGUC
RNAcentral lists this ribosomal RNA (442 nucleotides) under uncultured bacterium. Its description in RNAcentral is "partial 16S ribosomal RNA". It matches the Rfam family "Bacterial small subunit ribosomal RNA", at positions 338 to 795 of the family's 1533-position model. The record is from RNAcentral.